This 24-nucleotide non-coding RNA is filed under the name Arabidopsis thaliana (thale cress). The record is from RNAcentral. Lineage: Eukaryota; Viridiplantae; Streptophyta; Magnoliopsida; Brassicales; Brassicaceae.
AGUGGUUUCUUUGGCCUUUGUAGC